Molecule: long non-coding RNA, 341 nt
Filed under: Elaeis guineensis (African oil palm)
Lineage: Eukaryota; Viridiplantae; Streptophyta; Magnoliopsida; Arecales; Arecaceae
Description: long non-coding RNA (EGUI_LNC057023)
Source: RNAcentral
CUCCAUCAGACAUCCCAGUCGAGCUUCAGCCGACAGAUCCGAACUCUCUGGCAAGUCACGACAAUGGCUGCUACCUUACCCCACACUCUGUAACAGAUUUCAUGCGGCUCCACCACUCUCUGGCAAGCCACGACAAGGGCCACUACCUUACUCCACUCUCUGACAAGUCACGAUAAUGGAUACCACUCCACUCUCCGUAACAAACUCCACGUGGCCCUGAACGGCCCCUGACGCCACUAUUCUCCGUAACAAACUUCGCAUGGCUCUGAACGACCCACUACAAGGUAGUUAUAGACGUCACUGUCAAUCAGUUAUGCUCUCCGUCUAUAAAAAGGGACCCC